CUACGUGCCAGCAGCCGCGGUAAUACGGAAGGUCCAGGCGUUAUCCGGAUUUAUUGGGUUUAAAGGGAGCGUAGGCGGACGAUUAAGUCAGCUGUGAAAGUUUGCGGCUCAACCGCAAAAUUGCAGUUGAAACUGGUUGUCUUGAGUGCACGCAGGGAUGUUGGAAUUCAUGGUGUAGCGGUGAAAUGCUUAGAUAUCAUGAAGAACUCCGAUCGCGAAGGCAUAUGUCCGGAGUGCAACUGACGCUGAGGCUCGAAAGUGCGGGUAUCGAACAGGAUUAGAUACCCUGGUAGUCCGCACAGUAAACGAUGAAUACUCGCAGUGUGCGAUAUAAUGUAUGCUGCCAAGUGAAAACGUUAAGUAUUCCACCUGGGGAGUACGCCGGCAACGGUGAAACUCAAAGGAAUUGACGGGGGCCCGCACAAGCGGAGGAACAUGUGGUUUAAUUCGAUGAUACGCGAGGAACCUUACCCGGGCU
RNAcentral lists this ribosomal RNA (478 nucleotides) under uncultured bacterium. RNAcentral describes it as "bacterial SSU rRNA". It matches the Rfam family "Bacterial small subunit ribosomal RNA", at positions 501 to 981 of the family's 1533-position model. The record is from RNAcentral.